This 928-nucleotide long non-coding RNA is filed under the name Triticum aestivum (bread wheat). RNAcentral describes it as "long non-coding RNA (TAES_LNC008061)". The record is from RNAcentral. Lineage: Eukaryota; Viridiplantae; Streptophyta; Magnoliopsida; Poales; Poaceae.
CACUCCCACUCGCAGUCCCAGUCGCACUCGCACUCGUGGGGCGAGGCGCGCACGCCGGAGUCGGAGAUCGUCGACAACGACCCGUCGCUGUUCCAGCAGGCGGCGGCGUUCCAGGCCCAGAGCCCCGCCGCCGCGGCGGCGCACCAGGAGAUGAUGGCCACGCUGAUGGUGCCCAAGAAGGAGGCGGCGGAGGAGGCCGGCAGGAACGACCUGUUCGUGGACCUCAGCUACGAUGACAUCCAGAGCAUGUACAACGGCCUCGACAUGAUGCCGCCCGGGGACGACCUGCUCUACUCCUCCCUCUUCGCCUCGCCCCGUCUCCGGGGGAGCCAGCCCGGCGCCGGCGGCAUGCCGGCCCCGUUCUAAGCAGAGCCGAGACAGAGACCGUCAGAGACAGAGAUCGACAGAAGCGGAACGGAUGACUUCUUCGCCGCGAGCAAGAUCGCUCGCGGACCAGUGUAAAUACAGCAUAGGAAACGGGAGGGAGGAUGCGUCGUCGUGUCUGAGAGAGCCGGCGUGGCGCGGUCGCCGGCGCCGGGGCGUGCCGCUGUACAUGGAGAGCCCGGUGCUGGGGCCUGGCCGGCUGGGUUGAUUCUUUUGUUCUUACUACUACUUUGUACUCUCAAUGCGGAUGUAGCUCUUUCUUCUCACUCCUCGGUAGUAGAAUCGACCGACCAAAUACAUAUGUAGCUCUGUUCCUUCCUUCUCUUCAGUAGAAAUCAACCAAAUUUUUCUGUUAUGCUGCUAUACUUCUCUGAUGUCGGGCAGGAUGAAUUGCCUCAAUUUUCAGUCAGUCUGAUCUACUGAUCUGCCUGUGUUGUGUUUGCCUGCCUGCUUGGACACACCAAGCACACUCCGGUUCUGCAGGUAGCUCUAUGUAGCUCGAGCUCCAGAACGAAUUUCUGAUAGUAUUGGUUCCUGUAAAAUG